GAAAAGAAACCAACAGGGAUUGCCCUAGUAACGGCGAGUGAAGCGGCAACAGCUCAAAUUUGAAAUCUGGCUUCGGCCCGAGUUGUAAUUUGCAGAGGAUGUUUCUGGCGCGGUGCCUUCCGAGUUCCCUGGAACGGGACGCCACAGAGGGUGAGAGCCCCGUAUGGUUGGACACCAAGCCUGUGUGAAACUCCUUCGACGAGUCGAGUAGUUUGGGAAUGCUGCUCAAAAUGGGAGGUAAAUCUCUUCUAAAGCUAAAUACCGGCCAGAGACCGAUAGCGCACAAGUAGAGUGAUCGAAAGAUGAAAAGCACCUUGAAAAGGGGGUUAAACAGUACGUGAAAUUGUUGAAAGGGAAGCGCUUGUGACCAGACUUGCGCCGGGCGGUUCAUCCGGGGUUCUCCCCGGUGCACUCCGCCCGGCUCAGGCCAGCAUCGGUUCUCGUUGGGGGAUAAGAACGACAGGAACGUGGCCCUCCUUCGGGUGGGUGUUAUAGCCUGUCGUACGAUACCCUGAUGGGGACCGAGGUUCGCGCUCCCAAGGAUGCUGC
This 549-nucleotide ribosomal RNA is filed under the name Endothia gyrosa. RNAcentral's name for it is "Melogramma gyrosum partial 28S large subunit ribosomal RNA". It matches the Rfam family "Eukaryotic large subunit ribosomal RNA", at positions 56 to 629 of the family's 3401-position model. The record is from RNAcentral. Lineage: Eukaryota; Fungi; Ascomycota; Sordariomycetes; Diaporthales; Cryphonectriaceae.